RNAcentral lists this ribosomal RNA (479 nucleotides) under uncultured Bacteroidota bacterium. RNAcentral describes it as "bacterial SSU rRNA". It matches the Rfam family "Bacterial small subunit ribosomal RNA", at positions 28 to 505 of the family's 1533-position model. The record is from RNAcentral. Lineage: Bacteria; Pseudomonadati; Bacteroidota.
GAUGAACGCUAGCGGCAGGCCUAAUACAUGCAAGUCGAGGGGUAUGUUAGACUUCGGUUUAACAGAGACCGGCGCACGGGUGCGUAACGCGUAUGCAACCUACCUAUAACAGAAGAAUAGCCCGAAGAAAUUCGGAUUAAUGCUUCAUAGUACUAUCAGAUGGCAUCUGAAGAUAGUUAAAGCUCCGGCGGUUAUAGAUGGGCAUGCGUAAGAUUAGCUAGAUGGUGAGGUAACGGCUCACCAUGGCGACGAUCUUUAGGGGGUCUGAGAGGAUGAUCCCCCACACUGGUACUGAGAUACGGACCAGACUCCUACGGGAGGCAGCAGUAGGGAAUAUUGGUCAAUGGAGGCAACUCUGAACCAGCCAUGCCGCGUGCAGGAAGACGGCCCUAUGGGUUGUAAACUGCUUUUAUAUGGGAAGAAAGAAACUCUGCGGAGUAAGAUGACUGUACCAUACGAAUAAGGACCGGCUAACUCCG